UUUCCGUAGGUGAACCUGCGGAAGGAUCAUUAACGAAAAGUAAUCCGGGGGGGAGGCCACGGAGCGAAGUUUGGUAGAUCGUAGGGAUUGUCGCUGGCCUUUGGAAACGAAGGCAUGUGCGCGUUCCGAGUUCUCCUUAGUCCUCCUUUGCCUUUCCUUAGGAAGACCCUUUCUUCACACCCGUGCACACAUUGUAGGUCUCCGCGAGGGGAUCUAUAUCUUCACAAAUCUCUACGUAUGUCCAGGAAUGUAUCUAAAGCGUCGAACGGCUCGGCUCCAUGCCCGGUCGCCGACGGUAAAGAACCAUAAUACAACUUUCAGCAACGGAUCUCUUGGCUCUC
Molecule: unclassified non-coding RNA, 341 nt
Filed under: plant metagenome
Description: partial contains small subunit ribosomal RNA, internal transcribed spacer 1, and 5.8S ribosomal RNA
Source: RNAcentral